GUGGAGAUCAUUACCUACGUCCACCUCUGUUUGCAUCUUUCAGCCGUUACUAAAUGUGAUGAUGAAGGGAGCCAGGGAGAGUUGCUGUGUCUGCACCCUCGAUCCUUCUUUCACCCUUCGGUUUGGCUUUAGGGGUUUAGAUCCUAUUGGUUGGCACACACAGUUGAUGACUUGAACUUCGAUCCUUCCCGAUACGUGCUCGCUUACUUAAUGCAUAUGUCACCGUGUGCCAGCACUCAGGAUCUUGUCCUCUUAGCUCUGUCUUGACAUCAGUCUUGUAUCCUCUGUUCUCAGUCGAGGUCAGUUUUCUGGUCUUUUCCUGGUGUUCUCCUUGAAUAGGGUAUAUGGACGACAUACGCACUGACACUUUCACGCUCACAGUGACCGCUUCUGGGCUAGUAUGAGAGGCCAGGGGUGGAGUCCUUCUCUCUCCGUGACCCAUGGAUGACAUCUCACUGUCCUCUGCUUCCAACAUCACAGAUGAGAACACCAGGCCUUGUUAAUAUUUUCUCUCUUGAAGUAACAUGUUCUUCGUGUCAGUAAACAUGCAACUCUCCCCACCCCGGCUGUCCCAUCCGCCCACAAGGUUUCAGGGCUUCACGGGUUUGUGAGGGUGAGGGGUAAGGACGGGCAGGGGCUUCAGCGGACUGCGUGGGUGACUGGAGGCCUUAGACCCCCCUGGUGUGCUCCCCACGCACUCCUGAGGUCUUGGUCAGGCACUCGCCCGUGCCUGCUUUCCUGGUGUAACAGCAGAGGUGAGAGGUGGCUGGCUCGGGGGACUCGUGGCCCGGGGCUCGAUGUACGGUCAACACGCACGACCCCUGACGUGACCCUGAGGACACACACCCUCCUCCUGUGGGAUUCCCGCCCAGAUCAGCCCCGGGAAGAGGGUCAGCAGACACACCCACACGUGGGGCACCACGUGGGGCACCGUACACUGAGCAGUGCCCUCCAACCGCACCCGCCCCUGCUCUCCCCUCCCACUUUCAGGUGGUCGGGGGGGAAAGGGAGGGCUGAUCCUUUCUUUGAGUAG
RNAcentral lists this long non-coding RNA (1033 nucleotides) under Felis catus (domestic cat). RNAcentral describes it as "lncRNA (ENSFCAG00000050538.1)". The record is from RNAcentral. Lineage: Eukaryota; Metazoa; Chordata; Mammalia; Carnivora; Felidae.